RNAcentral lists this long non-coding RNA (227 nucleotides) under Lathyrus oleraceus (garden pea). RNAcentral describes it as "Pisum sativum (pea) long non-coding RNA (PSAT_LNC028894)". Lineage: Eukaryota; Viridiplantae; Streptophyta; Magnoliopsida; Fabales; Fabaceae. The record is from RNAcentral.
GGUGAUUUAGCAUGCAUAUUGUAGUCUUUAUGGUGGUAGCUAAUUCCCGUGGUGAGGAAUUAGUGAGUUGGUGGUAGCUAAUUCCCGUGGUGAGGAAUUAGUGAGUUGGUGGUAGCUAAUUCCCGUGGUGAGGAAUUAGUGAGUGAGUCACUAGGUCUCAAAUGAGUGGGACUAGUGGGCUUGGUAGCCGUAUCUGGAUUUGAUCGGUGAGGUGAACUAUAUGUUCA